Varroa destructor (honeybee mite) is the source of this 282-nucleotide long non-coding RNA. RefSeq lists it as uncharacterized. NCBI's taxonomy places the organism in Eukaryota, Metazoa, Arthropoda, Arachnida, Mesostigmata, Varroidae. The record is from RefSeq and is a predicted model, not a curated record.
CUCUGCCACCUUAACAAGAAAGAACCUUAAAUGUCAAUGUUUAAUGUAAACGUUCACGCACAUUUAUCCUCAAAAUUCAACGUAAAACGGGGUGGCAGUAGACGGAACGUUCAGUUUAAGCAAAAAACUAAAAACCUGCGCACAUACGUGGAAAGCAUCGUUGAAUACUCUAAGCUAACUUCAGAUAUUGAAACGACGCGAUACCUGGUUAAUGAAGCACGAGGAUAAAGAGACUCUCCGGGGGCGAAUGCUUUCUCUUCAAAAAAAAAGUGGGCAGUUACU